UUACCUUUGGCAUUUAUUUUUAUCUAGCCCUCAUCAUCCAUGGCUAUAAAACGUUGUGUUGUCUAUUUGGAGUUCAGAUAAUCAGUGCUCGUUUACCCACCUUUUUGACCAUUUCUUCCUAAAGAUAUGGGAGCCCUCAAGCUUGGAAACAUGUUAUGCUUUCUACUUGUGAUGUCACUCGUUUUUGUUCCUGGUAAGCAUUGGAUAACUAUCUCAACUAUAGAACAAGGCACAUCUUUAAUUCAUACUCUAACUAUUUGCUAGUCGUAUGUGAAUUCUAUAUACAAUGACUUAUCUUUCCAUAUAUUUCUUUUGAUAACACCAUGAGGUUUGAUUUUGUCAUACACCAUAUUGUGUCCAUUGUUUUGUAGGCUACGAAGCAAAGACUUGCACAAUAACGAGCACGACAUACCCCACUUCCACAUGCAUUCGGGAAUGAUGUGGUGAGGCCUGCCACAAUGAGGGCUAUGAUGAAGGGGCGUGUAACAUUAUCAGCUUUAGACCGAUUUUGAUACUUUGUUUCUGCAAGAAAGAGUGCUAAAGAUAGAUGUCUUGCAACUAUCCUCUAAUGUGAUGUAGCAAAUAAUAAGAUUAUGGCGUACGAAUAACUAAGGAUUAACAAUGGUAGAAGUCGAUACAUUACCAAAUGUUCCUUGUGUUUUGGCUUAAAAUUAUGGAGUAAGAAUAACUAUGGAGGAAGAAUAACUAAGGAUGAACAAUGGCAGAAGUCGAUACAAUGGUAGACACAUGAAUAUUACUCAUGCAAAGUAUGAUAGAGUACCCUCCUACUAGGAG
RNAcentral lists this long non-coding RNA (795 nucleotides) under Triticum aestivum (bread wheat). Its description in RNAcentral is "long non-coding RNA (TAES_LNC013671)". The record is from RNAcentral. Lineage: Eukaryota; Viridiplantae; Streptophyta; Magnoliopsida; Poales; Poaceae.